UGUUCUGGAUAAACAUCAUAUUUUUUGCACGCCGUAAUUGUCUUCAGAGUCUCAAAUACAGUAAUGAAAUUUGCCUAUAUAUUGUCACACUUGGAAUCCAUAAUUUCAUCAUUCAUGCAUGUAUUUUUUUUCUUGAAGCAAGAAGAGUGGGUUAGCGAUAUCGCUUGAAUCAUGAAGACGUUUCUACUAAUCUUUGUAGCCUUCAUGUUGAUCCUUGGAACUCUACAAACCAACGCAGAGAGGGUCACUAUGUUGGAUCGUCAGCUCCUAAGUGAUGGAAAUCUUGGACGAAAAGUUAACAUCGGUGCAAAUUAUUAUGGUAUAAAUGGAAAAGAAGGUGCCAAAGAGAUCGAUGAAACUAAAACUACCACUACUGAUGAUGGUGAGAACAACGACAAUGAUGAUGUGAACCAGAGUUAUGGAAAGUUAGGCCAUGGAUCAUCUACUGAUGCUCACCACCACAUCUACAUAGAUAGCCCUACUCAGAUACCAUGACUAAGCACUAUCUGGUGAAUGGACUUUGUGUAAAAAUGGUGUGCUGAUAUUAAGAUGGUGUACCAAAACCUAUAUGUAAGUAGUGAUCAACAAGUGUAUAAAUUUAGGUCUGUGAUGGUCUCUCCCUAAAAAAUGUUUGCCCUUCUGUUCUAUAUAUUAACAGUCACACGAUUUGAUUUUUAAUCUAAAGAAAAUCAUAGUGUGGUUGUGAGUAAAGAAACAAGAGGACAGACACUUUUUUUUGAACAAUGGAUCUCAAUAUGUAAUUGUGAGUAUGAGUUUUGAAAAGUAUCAAUUUCAUGCAGUGUGUUUAAUCUAUGUGAUAAAUCCCAAGGUUUGUAUGGUUGUACUUUCA
Long non-coding RNA from Camellia sinensis, 850 nucleotides. RefSeq lists it as uncharacterized. NCBI's taxonomy places the organism in Eukaryota, Viridiplantae, Streptophyta, Magnoliopsida, Ericales, Theaceae. The record is from RefSeq and is a predicted model, not a curated record.